Salmo salar (Atlantic salmon) is the source of this 54-nucleotide non-coding RNA. The record is from Rfam. NCBI's taxonomy places the organism in Eukaryota, Metazoa, Chordata, Actinopteri, Salmoniformes, Salmonidae.
UGUAUUCACUACUGUAAGUCGCUCUGAAUAAGAGCGUCUGCUAAAUGACUGAAU